This 77-nucleotide transfer RNA is filed under the name Magnetospirillum sp. RNAcentral's name for it is "tRNA-Arg". It matches the Rfam family "tRNA". Rfam says of the family: Transfer RNA (tRNA) molecules are approximately 80 nucleotides in length. Their secondary structure includes four short double-helical elements and three loops (D, anti-codon, and T loops). Lineage: Bacteria; Pseudomonadati; Pseudomonadota; Alphaproteobacteria; Rhodospirillales; Rhodospirillaceae. RNAcentral also lists the same sequence under 11 other names. The record is from RNAcentral.
GCAGCCGUAGCUCAGCUGGAUAGAGCGCUGCCCUCCGAAGGCAGAGGUCGUAGGUUCGAAUCCUACCGGUUGCGCCA